GAUGAACGCUGGCGGCGUGCUUAACACAUGCCAGUCGAACGAUGAAGCUCAGCUUGCUGGGUGGAUUAGUGGCGAACGGGUGAGUAACACGUGAGUAACCUGCCCUUAACUCUGGGAUAAGCCUGGGAAACUAGGUCUAAUACCGGAUAGGAGCGCCUACCGCAUGGUGGGUGUUGGAAAAAUUUAUCGGUUUUGGAUGGACUCGCGGCCUAUCAGCUUGUUGGUGAGGUAAUGGCUCACCAAGGCGACGACGGGUAGCCGGCCUGAGAGGGUGACCGGCCACACUGGGACUGAGACACGGCCCAGACUCCUACGGGAGGCAGCAGUGGGGAAUAUUGCACAAUGGGCGAAAGCCUGAUGCAGCGACGCCGCGUGAGGGAUGACGGCCUUCGGGUUGUAAACCUCUUUCAGUAGGGAAGAAGCGAAAGUGACGGUACCUGCAGAAGAAGCACCGGCUAACUACGUG
This 466-nucleotide ribosomal RNA is filed under the name uncultured bacterium. RNAcentral's name for it is "partial 16S ribosomal RNA". It matches the Rfam family "Bacterial small subunit ribosomal RNA", at positions 28 to 507 of the family's 1533-position model. The record is from RNAcentral.